GACGAACGCUGGCGGCGUGCCUAAUACAUGCAAGUCGAGCGAAGUUUUUCUGGUGCUUGCACUAGAAAAACUUAGCGGCGAACGGGUGAGCAACACGUAAAGAACCUGCCUCAUAGACUGGGACAACUAUUGGAAACGAUAGCUAAUACCGGAUAACAGUAUUUCUCGCAUGAGAGAUAUUUAAAAGUUGGUUAUGCUAACACUAUGAGAUGGCUUUGCGGUGCAUUAGCUAGUUGGUGGGGUAAAGGCCCACCAAGGCGACGAUGCAUAGCCGACCUGAGAGGGUGAUCGGCCACACUGGGACUGAGACACGGCCCAGACUCCUACGGGAGGCAGCAGUAGGGAAUCUUCCGCAAUGGGCGAAAGCCUGACGGAGCAACGCCGCGUGAGUGAAGAAGGAUUUCGGUUCGUAAAGCUCUGUUGUUAGGGAAGAAUGGAUAUGUAGUAACUAUACAUGUAAGAGACGGUACCUAACCAGAAAGCCACGGCUAACUACGUG
Molecule: ribosomal RNA, 499 nt
Filed under: uncultured bacterium
Lineage: Bacteria
Description: partial 16S ribosomal RNA
Rfam family: Bacterial small subunit ribosomal RNA
Source: RNAcentral